Molecule: ribosomal RNA, 457 nt
Filed under: uncultured bacterium
Lineage: Bacteria
Description: bacterial SSU rRNA
Rfam family: Bacterial small subunit ribosomal RNA
Source: RNAcentral
GACGAACGCUGGCGGCGUGCUUCAUACAUGCAAGUCGAACGAGAAUUCACCUUCGGGUGGAGGAAAGUGGCGGACGGGUGAGUAAUGUGUAGAGAAUCUACCCUAGAGAGGGGGACAACAGCUGGAAACGGUUGCUAAUACCCCAUAUGAGGUAACUUGAAAUAGUUAUCUUGAAAACUCCGGUGCUCUGGGAUGAGUCUGCAUCUGAUUAGCUAGUUGGGGGUGUAAUGGACCACCAAGGCGACGAUCAGUAGCUGGUUUGAGAGGAUGAUCAGCCACAAUGGGACUGAGACACGGCCCAUACUCCUACGGGAGGCAGCAGUAGGGAAUUUUGCACAAUGGGCGAAAGCCUGAUGCAGCAACGCCGCGUGAGGGAAGACGGUUUUCGGAUUGUAAACCUCUGUCUUUGGUGAAGAUAAUGACGGUAGCCAAGGAGGAAGCCACGGCUAACUACGUG